RNAcentral lists this ribosomal RNA (421 nucleotides) under uncultured bacterium. Its description in RNAcentral is "bacterial SSU rRNA". It matches the Rfam family "Bacterial small subunit ribosomal RNA", at positions 28 to 453 of the family's 1533-position model. The record is from RNAcentral.
GACGAACGCUGGCGGCGUGCUUAACACAUGCAAGUCGAACGGAAAGGCCCUUUCGGGGGUACUCGAGUGGCGAACGGGUGAGUAACACGUGGGUGAUCUGCCCUGCACUUCGGGAUAAGCUUGGGAAACUGGGUCUAAUACCGGAUAGGACUACGGACUGCAUGGUCUGUGGUGGAAAGCUUUUGCGGUGUGGGAUGGGCCCGCGGCCUAUCAGCUUGUUGGUGGGGUGAUGGCCACCAAGGCGACGACGGGUAGCCGGCCUGAGAGGGUGUCCGGCCACACUGGGACUGAGAUACGGCCCAGACUCCUACGGGAGGCAGCAGUGGGGAAUCUUGCGCAAUGGGCGAAAGCCUGACGCAGCGACGCCGCGUGGGGAUGAAGGUCUUCGGAUUGUAAACCCCUUUCGGGAGGGAAGACGGCC